GCCCUCUAUGAUUUCUAUUUCAUUCAUUUUGAAUUAAAAUAUCACAAAAUUUUCUAUUUAAAAUCAUCUCUUAAGAAUUAAUAUUUUAUUAAUUUGAUUUUGGGACAUUUAAUUACGAUUUUAAUAUAAAAAAUGAGCAAAUAUCUUCUUUUGAGAUAUUCGUUUCUUCAAAAAAAAAAAUGAAUCAUUGAUUAAUCAAUAUCAAUUUAAUCAAUCAAAAUAGAAUUGACAAAACUUGCCAACCUUUUGACAAAAAAUAAGAUAAAAGAAUAAUACUCAAUUUAGUAAUCAAUCCUUAAGAAAAAUAUAUAUAUUGUUAUGUAAUAGACAGAAAAAAUCUAGGCAAAUACAAUACUACUUAUUGAAUCAUUGAAAAUAAAAUAUAAGGAGCAAAAGCCCCUCUUGGUAAACCAAGAAAGAGUUUAUUGCUCCUUAUAUUUUUCUAUUAUUAUUCUAUUUUCAAAACCUCCUAUACACCAAGACCAAGUCUUAUCC
RNAcentral lists this unclassified non-coding RNA (495 nucleotides) under Pedicularis likiangensis. Its description in RNAcentral is "trnH-psbA intergenic spacer". The record is from RNAcentral. Lineage: Eukaryota; Viridiplantae; Streptophyta; Magnoliopsida; Lamiales; Orobanchaceae.